This 356-nucleotide long non-coding RNA is filed under the name Elaeis guineensis (African oil palm). RNAcentral describes it as "long non-coding RNA (EGUI_LNC062233)". Lineage: Eukaryota; Viridiplantae; Streptophyta; Magnoliopsida; Arecales; Arecaceae. The record is from RNAcentral.
UUUGAAAUUCAUGAUUCACAUAAAUGCUUUUGUUCAAGUAUUUUGUCAUCAUCAAAAAGGGAGAGAUUGUUGCUCCUAGAUUGAUUUUGAUGAUUACAAAGCAGAUUGAAGGGAUACCAAUAUUUUUUAUUUGAAAAAGUCUUUGUGCUCUUCAGGGGCAAAAUCGUAAUUUUACCAAAACCCUAAUUUAAUAGUAUCAUUUGGUAGAACAAAAGAUUUGUGAUCUAUUGGCGAAAAUUUCAUUAUUUUUGGACUUGUAUUUUUGAAGUUAUGCAUGUUUGAAAUCCAUAAGUCGACUCAUGAGUCAGCUGAUGGCACAAUGAGCAGUUUGGCACGCUGAAUUUUUGGCUUGGCAC